UUCGGAACAAAAGGUUUCAAACAUUUCACGAACAUCCAUUGAUACCAUUUCAAGAACAACGGUAUCAACCAAUUCAGAAACAAACGGUUUCAAAUAAUUCAGAAACAAAAUGUUUCAAAUAAUUCUGAAACAAAAUGUUUCAAAUAAUUCUGAAACAAAAUGUUUUAAAUAUUUCAAAAACGUUGGUUGAAACCAUUUAAGGAACAACAGUCACAUAUAAAUGAGUAACAACGGUAUCAACCAAUUGAAAGAACAAAAGUGCAAACAUUUCAGAGGAACAUUGGUUAAAAGCAUUUUAGGAACAAUGGUGUCAACCAAUUACGAAACAACGGGUUCAACUGUUUGAGGAACAAUGAUUUCAAUGGUUUUGGUCAUUUGAGAAACAAUGGUUGAAACCAUUUUAGGAACAAUGAUGACGAACUAUUUAGGAACAAAGGUUUCAAAC
RNAcentral lists this long non-coding RNA (445 nucleotides) under Zostera marina. RNAcentral describes it as "long non-coding RNA (ZMAR_LNC002411)". Lineage: Eukaryota; Viridiplantae; Streptophyta; Magnoliopsida; Alismatales; Zosteraceae. The record is from RNAcentral.